Molecule: long non-coding RNA, 1009 nt
Filed under: Ornithorhynchus anatinus (platypus)
Lineage: Eukaryota; Metazoa; Chordata; Mammalia; Monotremata; Ornithorhynchidae
Description: lncRNA (ENSOANG00000036274.1)
Source: RNAcentral
GGGGAGCUGAGGAACUGGGGGGCUUAUUCUGGAAAGGCCUCUUGGUGGAAGUGAGCCUUCAGUAGGGCUUUGAAGAGGACAGGAGUGAACGUUUCGCAGAUCUGAUGGUCGGCCCAGGCGUCGAUACGUGUCCUCCUCUCCGGGAGGCCAUGGCCACGUGCGUACGGUCCCAUAAUAAUGAUAAUGAUGGUAUUUGUUAAGCUAUUACUAUGUGACAGGCACUGUUCUAAGUGCUAGUGUAGAUACAAGCUAAUCAGGUUGGACACAGUCCCUGUCCCACAUAGGGCUCACGGUCUUAAUCCCCAUUUCACAGAUGAGGUGACUGAGGCCCAGAGAAGCAAAGUGUCUUGCCCAAAGUCACAAAGGAGACAAGUGGCGGAGCUGGGAUUAGAACCCCGUCGUUCUGGCCCCCCGGGCCCGUGUUCUAGCCACGAGGCGAUGCUGCUUCCCCUGGCCAGAGACCGGGAUGUCCUCCAAGUCGUCAGCAGGGAAGGCGAGUGGUUUCUUGGAUGGCAGGCGUUUGCCAUGGACAGAGGCGGCCCCGAUCCUGAAGCAGAGUCGGCCCGGUGCGCGUGUCUGAAGAUGAGUUGGGUGGCGUGCGUGACACUUUCUCCCGAUCUGCUCAUAUAGAUGACGGUGCCAAGUGUCUACAGGCGAGGGAUGUAAGUAGUGAAUUUUCUUCCUCAAAUCCGGGAGGGGGCAUGGUGGCUUUUCCCGGAGGUGGAUUCAACCCCAACUUCCUCUACCCAAGACAUUUAUUCCCCAGUUCAAAUUUCGGGACCGUCCAUUCACAGUUUAUAGCUUUGUCAGAAAUCAACGUUGGACAAUGCGUGUCCUCUGUUUUCUUCUCGUUGUGUGCAGGGAAUCGGUCCUCUCUCCCGUGAAGCCAAGUUACCUUACGUUAACGGAGAUUAUGGUGACUCUGAAAUGUCUCCGUCCCGAUCUCUGCCAACGCAGAGGCCCCUGCAUGGAGGAUCACAGUCACGGCUUUAGAAGCCUAAUUGCUCUU